UACGAGUUACGACGAAGCGAAAUCAGACACACAGUUUGUUGCACUUGCACACCGGUCGAUUUCGUCGGAGUCGUUUGUCUUUAUUAGUUCAGUUAGAAAAUUUUGUAAAAUUCAUCUGUAUUUUAUCGCACGUGGUUGGUUUUUCUCGCUGAUUAUACACCCGUCGAGAGAUUCACCAUGAGCUGCAGUUUUAAUGGUCAAACGAGCAAAGAUGAGGAACUUACCAUUAUGUUUUCAGAGGCGAUGGAUUGGCAAAGUGUUGCAACAAAAUCAUCAGAAGAUGUUGUUAUUUAUCCAGUUAAUGGAGGGCACCGUUCUGGUAGCUCACAGAUCAAAGUUAAAAAUAUAGUUGAUUCAUCAUGGGAUAAAGCUUUCCACUGGGGAAACCUGGUUGCCACUCAUUACAAGGGGCAAUAUUUUGCAUAUGCACUGACAGUCCCCGGAAAAUCAGCUGGCAUGGUUCGAGUGAUAAGAACUGGGAGCAGUGAUAGAAUCCUAUUAAAGGGAUUCCAUGGCUUUGUUCGAGACCUGUCUUUUGCGUUCCAUGAGAAAAGGAUACUUGUGGCUGCUGUCGAUGAAUAUAGUUACCUUCUCGUCCAUGAGAUCAUUGGAUCAACUGCUCAAUUGAUUUUGCAAGUGAAUCCCGAUGGAAUUACUACUGCCACCGACUGCCAUCGUGUAGUCUGGUGUCCCUAUGUCCCAGAAAAUCCCAAAACUCUAGAUGAAUUGAGUGAUGGUUUGAGAAAUGAUGCUGAUGAUCAUGCAUUAAUGCUUGCAGCGGUACAUGAUUGCCGUGUGGAAAUAUGGCAUCUGGGUCAUAUCAAUGGAACAGUCACCUACCCCAGUGUGACUACUGGAUCCACUCAAAUUACCUCAUUUGAUGAUGCUGUUGUUGAUGUGGCAUUUUCUCCAGAUUCAACAGCAAUUGCUGUCGCCAGUUUGGAUGGCUACGUCAGAUUCUUUUUGGUCAAUAUUAAAAAGGAAAUUCCAAAAAUUUUGCACAAGUGGCAACCACAUGAAGGAAAAAGGCUCUCAGGCAUUAUUUUCUUGGACAAUCUCAGUCAUCCAACUAUCAGAGAAUGUCCGCUGUGGAAGUGGGCAGUCACAUCCGCGGAAAACAACACAGAGUUUAAGCUAUGGUCCUGUGAAUUGUGGAAGUGCCAUCAGACGAUCCGUUUCAAAUCGGAUGAUUCUAUUCCCAUUAUCCAAAAAAUGACACUCGACUUGUCGGCUUCAUUCCUUCUUAUUUCCGACAUUCAUCGCAAGGCUUUGUACGUUAUGCACAUAGAACAGGAGCCAGAAGAGAAGAAUCCGCUCUCUGAUGACGGCGAAGAACCUUCCAAAUCGGAAGAACGAACCAUCUCGAAAGUGAGCAGCAUCACUCAACUCCUGUUGCCUUUCUCAGCCAUUAGUGUUGCCAUCCGUGAAGCUUCAAUUAGGCCACCUUCCCAGCCAUUGGGUGACGAGGACUUUGAUGGAGAUGAAAAGGCCAGUAAAGUGAUAAUGAAGAUGUUCGUAGUGCAGCCCAAGUCGCUGCAAAAGUGCAAAGCAGUCUUCGAAUUGGGGACUUCGGUCCCACUGGGCGAGGCUAUUGGAACCUCCUUCUCCACCAUCAACACCACGUCGGAGUAUGAACCGGUGAAUGUAGUCAAAACAGCAUCCGCUACCAACCACAUCAACCUGUUGACACCCGACGCGUUCGUCUCUCCAGCCAAAACCAACACGGAUUCCUCAUCUCAAAAGCAAUUGAUUGUGACUUCACCAGGCACUGUGAGUCCCUUGCCGCCUGCAUCAGGUGAGAUCCUGGCCCUUUCAAGCCCACGACGACCGACACCUGAGGUUACCUCAUCAACGACGCCGAAGCGGAACGGCAUUCCCAGUGGGGGUAGCAGUCCCAGUCGCGAAGUUGAAGAAAUCCUGGGAACAAGACCUAUGACGGAAGGCUCGAUUGAGUCACCCGAUACCUCUUCCGCCACCGUGCCUACUGGUCCAGCUCUUCAAGACGCCUUAUCAGCCUAUCCCAUUUCGUUGUCGCCGGCUAUGGGUCGCUCAGCCUCGGUCAAUAGCAAGGGACCAUCCCCCAUCAUGGAUAAAUAUAACGCACCAACUGUUGAGGAUCCGCUAUGCACUUACCCUACUUCCGCUGUUGCAGCUCCUACUCCUUCCUCCGUAUCUGCGGAUUUAAACGGCAGUUUGCUGGAAUUAUUUAAAGAAGCCCUUGUCGUUGAAGCUUUGCCAGCGCAAGCAGCGUGGCCGUCCGUUCUUCCGCCACUCAACGUUCAACAACUACAACGGCCCAAAGAGCCGCCAGUGCGCGAAACGGAUGCCGGAAAUUCUGCUCAGAUGCAAAUGAUGCAACAGACACUGGACCAAUUGGUUCAGCUCGUCUCUGCUCAACGCGCAGAACAACAACAACUGAAGAACGAGAUUGGUCAGUUGAAGGCGGAAAUGACUCGGAUGCACUCACCGGAACCCAUCCAGCCUCCAUGGAUUGCUCAGAUGGAAUCCACUUUGGCCGUUUAUUUCGAUCGCCAGACUAAAAAGUUGGACGAAGUCAAUUCUCCAGCGAAAACCCAACAAUCCGUGUCGAAACUUCAGUCGACGAUCCGAUCCGAAUUCGAGAACAAGGCGCAUACACUGGAGCAACGAAGUGUUGAUUUUAUCCGCAAGGAAUUGCAAUCGGUCAUUGCGACGGAGAUGAAUAAACUGGAACCGUUUUUGAAAAACUCUACGAUGCAAAUGAUGAGCCAUUUGUCGCAGAACAAGUCCAUCAUCGAUGCGUACAGCCAAGCUACUUCGACGGCGGCCGUGUCGGCCAUGAAUCGCGGCUGCAAGGAUGCCAUCACGUCACAGCUGCUUCCGUCGCUGGAAGUCUCGUUCCAGACACUCUUCGCCCAGCUGCACAACACUUUUUCCAAGGGGAUCACCGAGUUCGUACGAAACAUCGAGAGCAACCUGGAACGACACCGCAGGCUGCAAGACAAGGAAUCGGCCGUUCAACUCAACGCCACCAUGGAUAAGAUUGCCGUCGUUUUGGACCAAGUCCGGCAGUCGAUUUCGUCCGAUACCAAGACGGAAUUGAAGAAAAUCUCUCACGAAUUUCCGGAGAGGGUUCGUGUACUUUUGACUCCUGUGAUCCAGUCCGAGAUGCAACACGCCAUCAAGGAUCAGAAAGCGGCUCUGGACGGUGCCAUGUUGGCAGUUCACCAAGCCGCCCAAAUUCAAUCGCGCGCUGUGACGCCAGCGGUGGUGGAGCUGACGCCAGCCGAGCAUCAAAUCCAAUUGAAGCACAUGAUUGACCAAGGACGAUUAUUCGAAGCUUUCCAGAGGGCGCUCUACAUGAACGACUUGAGUAUGGUAACGUUCGUUUGCUCAAAAGUCGAUGCCGGUAAACUCUUCGCCUCGGAUCCUUGCGUCUUCCCACCACAAAUCCUUUUGGCGUUGAUCCAGCAACUAUCUGCAGAUCUUGGCUCGUCGACUGAAUUGAAAUUAGAAUAUCUCCAAGAAGCACUCUUGGCUGUGAACACUCAAGAUCCGCAGAUUAAGGAGCACGCACCCAAGGUGAUGCCUCAACUGGUGGUGAAUUUGCAUGCCCAGAUGGCCAACAAUCUCAGUAUCACACUGCAACGUCAAUUGCGCAUGUUACUGCGCUGUGCCGAGCCAUUGGCUUCAGCCAAGUAGGACCUUCUUUUGAAGGAGCAACAAAAUAAUAACAACAGGUCCUUCCUUGAAAACAAAAAUAACACGAUGAAAUGGUGCGCAUUUCUUUCCUUCCCAGAUUUUGGUUUCAUUAAUUUUUUCCCCGAUGUGUGUCUAGCUACUCUCAAUUUUCCAUCCCAAGCAAAGUUCAAUUUUCCCUUUGCCAAUUUAAAAAAGAAAAAGAAACAUUACUUAAACUUUUGAAGAAAAACCGAAGCAGCUUGAUAUGAUCGUGACUUAAUAAUUCUUUAAGUUCGUUUUGUUGUGUUUUUCAAUUUCCCCCCCAGGUAAAGAAAGGUUUAGCUCUAACCGCUGUCUUUAUUCCAUGUUGUGUUGAUUUAGUAAUCGAUAAAUAUUGCGCUUGCUCUUCUUCCUCCUUUAUUCUUUGCCCCCUUCAAUUUCUUGUCGCACAACAAAGAAACUUAUCAACUUGGAAGCGAUGCGAUCUUUAAAAUCUGAGAAGACGUGACGUACAAAAGAAAAAACAUAAUACAAGGAAAUUCAAAUAAAGAUACGGUUGUGUGUUUGUUUGUGUACAAUCGCACGUAAUACCAGCAGGUCCUUUUUCCUCCCCGAAGGACGUUGGUUUGUUGUGGUUAAACAAACCAACAUGACGGCGGUGGGUAAAUGCGCACAUGUUUGUAAUUCAAUAAGUUUAUUUCAUUUUGAAUAGAGUGUCUGGAGGUCAUGAAGCUGCUGUGCUGCUGUGACGCUGUUGCGUUUUUUCUUCCCCUUCGCCCAAGGAUUGUUGUGACCAAAAAGAAUCCAGCACGUGGAUUUCAGUUUUUUUCUUAUUUAUUUAUUUAUUUUUAGAUUAUCCACCAAGCAACACCAAGUCCAUUGGAAUUUUUCUUUUUUUUUGGCCGUUAUCGCUUCCUAGUGUCGCAGAGGAUAUGCGUGCCGGGUUUUUUCUUCUCCUCCGCUUUAUCACGUUGCAGCAGCGGCGGCGAGACCCGAACGAUGUCUUGUCUCUUUCCCAGACAACACAGCCCUUAACACAUUUAUUUUUUUUUGUUUCCUUCUGAUGUUUGAACCAUCACGCCAUUGAGUUGUGAUUGGUUCAUUCAGUUGUAUGGCCAUCGAGUCCACCCGGGACAAUUGUAUAGUCGUCGCCGCAACAACAACAACAACCGAAAAAGAAACACAACCACCUUUCGCCGUCUCAUCGUGAGGUUGCAGCAGCAGCCAAAAAGCCGGAAAUUGCGUCGUCUGUAUUAGUUGGCGCAUUGCAUCAUAUCAAAAACCGAUGAUUGGGAAAUCAUGGGUGCAUAUAAUGUUCUGCGUAUACAAACGAAAGUAGAGAAGCAACUCUUUUCCGCCCGCGGGAUUUUUUUAUUUGAGGUGUUGUUGACGCGUUCGUUUAUUUUAUUUUGUUCCCCCCCCCCCCCCGUCUGUUUUGGGGUUUUUCAAGGUUUCCCGCAAAACUCGUCCCGAGGUCUUUCGGAUGUUGUGAAACACAUCAUUGUACAUUUUUCUUGAACGCUGCAAUACCCCCAGGAUAUGAUGAUAGUGUGUGCGUGUAUACGGUUUGAAUUUCCUCUAGUGACCUCGUUUUUCGUUCUUCAGAUGUUUCCGCUUCCGCUUUUGUACAGAUGACAUUGAAGUGAAAAAGGGCCUUUAUCUCUCGGUUGAUUGCUCAGCACAAAAGGUUCCGUUGGUUGCGUAGAUUUUAUCACGCCGGAAUAAAUAAUAAUGUUGUACCUUAUCUAGACCGUAACUUGUAAUAUCUCUGCUCGUUGUACUCCCGGUUGAGAAAGUGUGACAAUAGUGUCGUGAGUCACGGCGCUAUUCUCUUUUCUCCACUGAUUAUUGAGGGAGAAAGGACCGUCGGUGAACCGGAGUUAAAACAAACAGACAAAACGGACGGCAAUUUGCCAAUUAGCCGAUUCAUUUGUAUACACACACAAUGCCUGUUUCCGUAACACUUGAUCAAAUUGACGUAAUCGACCUCGAUCAAUUGACAUCCGCAUAGCGAAUAAGGGAAACGAUCAUUUAUUCACGAAGAAAAAAACGGGAAGAAUAAGGAAGUAUCUCAAUGUUAUAGACUUGUCGUUUGGCUUAACUGAUUGCGACUUUUCACGGAGUAAAGUUAAGUAGGCCACGGCCGCCACUAUAGACUCCCAAUGACUUGCACGCAAAUUAUUUAUGUUCUCUUUUAUACAGUGGAGAGAAAGCCGGAACCGUAGUAAGUACACGUAGUAGUAGUAGAAAAUACUACUACCAAACAGUUGUGUCAAAAUUUCACUUUGUCGUUCUCAUUUCGUGUUGUUGUGGGUGCGAAAGAAAUUUCUCUUUUUCCAACUAUUUCAACCAACAAAUUCAAAGUGUAUUGUUUUUCUUUCAUCAUGACACACAUAGAAUAUUAUUCACCCUCAUUUCUUCCUCUUACACGAGAUAUUUUUUAAAUUACAAUCAAAAUGACCAACAACCAAAAAUCCCAACAACAAGUUUUUUUUUUUUGCCAUAUCCGCGACGGAUUUGAUUAUCUAAUAAUUAGAGUAAUAAAUUUGCGAUGUAUUAAUUAAUAUUAAUAUUUACAGGUACGACGAGGGUAGAUUGGUGGGGAGGGGGUUUGGAGAAUUAUUCAAAUCAUGGAAUGGGUCUGAGAAAAAGAGGAAAAUCAAUUCAAAAAAAAUGAGUCUAAAGAAAUUGAAUGGGUCGGUUAUUAUAUAAUCAAGAAGAAGGGGAGAGGGACUAGUUGGUGA
Molecule: unclassified non-coding RNA, 6404 nt
Filed under: Daphnia pulicaria
Lineage: Eukaryota; Metazoa; Arthropoda; Branchiopoda; Diplostraca; Daphniidae
Description: enhancer of mRNA-decapping protein 4-like, transcript variant X4
Source: RNAcentral